UACGUAGGUGACAAGCGUUGUCCGGAUUUACUGGGCGUAAAGAGCGCGCAGGCGGUCGAUCAAGUCGAGUGUGAAAGCCCCCGGCUCAACUGGGGAGGGUCAUUCGAUACUGUUUGGCUUGAGACCGGAAGAGGUUAGUGGAACUGCGAGUGUAGAGGUGAAAUUCGUAGAUAUUCGCAAGAACACCAGUGGCGAAGGCGGCUGACUGGUCCGGUUCUGACGCUGAGGCGCGAAAGCGUGGGGAGCAAACAGG
RNAcentral lists this ribosomal RNA (253 nucleotides) under uncultured bacterium. Its description in RNAcentral is "partial 16S ribosomal RNA". It matches the Rfam family "Bacterial small subunit ribosomal RNA", at positions 524 to 776 of the family's 1533-position model. The record is from RNAcentral.